This is a transfer RNA of Trametes pubescens, 80 nucleotides long. It matches the Rfam family "tRNA". From Rfam's summary of the family: Transfer RNA (tRNA) molecules are approximately 80 nucleotides in length. Lineage: Eukaryota; Fungi; Basidiomycota; Agaricomycetes; Polyporales; Polyporaceae. The record is from Rfam.
GAACCCUUGGCACAGUGGUAGCGCGUGAGAUUCCAGUACGGACAUCCUCAAGGUCGUCCGUUCGAUCCGGGCAGGGUUCA